Molecule: long non-coding RNA, 1147 nt
Filed under: Trifolium pratense (red clover)
Lineage: Eukaryota; Viridiplantae; Streptophyta; Magnoliopsida; Fabales; Fabaceae
Description: long non-coding RNA (TPRA_LNC002121)
Source: RNAcentral
GUUACCAUUUUCUUAAAUUCUCUGCACAUAAAAUAGAUUGAUAAAUAAAUAAAAAAAUCAAGAAAAUAAUAAGAAGGACAUAUAAAAUAUUAUAAAAUAUUGGGAUAUUACAUUGUUAACACCUUAUAAUAGUUUCAUCCGCAAAACUAGAAAUUCGAAAAGAUAUUUAAGAUAGAGUUCCGUUUCUAAAUAAAAUUAUAGGGUAAAGGAAUCACUUUCUAAAAGAUAAAGUUAAAGUAUUUUGACACAUAAAUAAAAUAGUUAUUUAUAUAUUAAAAUAAAAUUCUUGGGUCUUACAUUCAACCCACAAAUAAUUUAGAUUCCUCCCCGAAGUUAGACAAUAAAAAAAGAUUUUAGGUAGAUUUUUCAAAAGCUCUUUAUGUAAUUUUAAUAAUGAAUUAAAAAGUCAUGUUUCUGCUGUGCACUUUAAUGUCAAGAUACAUCAUUCAAAUUGAACAAUUCUCAUAAAAAUUAUUUUCAAAAUGCAACAUUAGAAGAAGAAUAGAGAGUCUUUUUAACAUAUAUAAUAAUACAUAAAAAUAAAGCACCUAUAAAAUAAUGUGGUAGAAACAGUAAGUCAGUAACAAUGUUUUUGUCUUUUCAAGCAACAGAAAAAAAAAUUGUGACAGGCUCCAGAAAACAAAAUACGUACAUGAAACUGGAUUUAUUUAUUAAGCUAAUUUUAUUAAUUAAUAACCAUGCAGUUAUGUUGUUGUUUACUAUAUAUAUCCUCUCUGAGCGAAGAAAGAUAAAAUUACUUGCAUAAUAUAAUACUACAUAAUACAAAUUUUGAAAUAAAUUAUUAAGUGCACAAACAUUAUGAUAUCACAUAAAAUUAUAUUAUAAAAGGCUCAAUUUAAUUAAUUAACUCACAAAAAUUUUCUUUGCAUAACCAAGCAUAACGGUUUCCUGAUGGUGGACAAUCCCCUAUAUAUUUACAGGGGAUAUUAGCUGCAUUGUCAAAUAGAAGAAAGGAACGUCACUAACAAAUUUUAUACUAUUGUGUAUAAGAUAAAUUUGAAAAUGGUAUAAAAAAUGACAUACUUUUCUUAUAAGCAAAGGAUUCAACAAGAAAUGUAAAAAAAAAGAUGAUCAAAGUAUAAAUAAACAUGUCGAUUUUAGUUGUACUUUUCUUAUUUUGUAUUUC